GACGAACGCUGGCGGCGUGCUUAACACAUGCCAGUCGAACGGACGGGCCCUGCUCUUGUGGGGUGCUCGAUUGGCGAACGGGUGAGUGACACGUGAGUAACCUGCCCUUGUCUUUGGGAUAACUUCAGGAAACUGCGGCUAUAACCGGGGAGGAUCUCCUGCUGCAUGGUGGUGAAUGGUAAGUUUCGGCGGUUGGGGAUGGACUCGCGGCUUAUCCGCUUGUUGGGGUGGUAGUGACUUACCAAGGCUUUGACGGGUAGGCGGCCUGAGAGGGUGACCGGCCACAUGAGGACUGAGAUACGGCCCAGACGCGAACGGGACGCAGCAGUGGAGAGUAUUGCAGAGUGGGCGGGAGCCUGAUGUGGCAACGUCGCGUGCGGGAUGACGGCCUUCGGGUUGUAAACAGAUGUCGACUGUGCCGAAGCGAUAGUGACGGUAACGGGUAAAGAAGCCACGGCUAACUACGUG
This 468-nucleotide ribosomal RNA is filed under the name uncultured bacterium. RNAcentral describes it as "partial 16S ribosomal RNA". It matches the Rfam family "Bacterial small subunit ribosomal RNA", at positions 28 to 507 of the family's 1533-position model. The record is from RNAcentral.